RNAcentral lists this ribosomal RNA (253 nucleotides) under uncultured bacterium. RNAcentral describes it as "partial 16S ribosomal RNA". It matches the Rfam family "Bacterial small subunit ribosomal RNA", at positions 524 to 776 of the family's 1533-position model. The record is from RNAcentral.
GACAGAGGUGCCGAGCGUUAGGCGGAAUCACUGGGCUUAAAGCGUGUGUGGGCGGGCCGUUAAGUAUCUUGUGAAAUCCCCCGGCUCAACCGGGGAAUGGCUGGAUAUACUGGCGGUCUUGAGCGAUCUAGGGGCAGAUGGAACAAGUGGUGGAGCGGUGAAAUGCGUAGAUAUCACUUGGAACGCCAAAGGUGAAAACAGUCUGCUGGGGAUCUGCUGACGCUGAGACACGAAAGCCAGGGGAGCGAACGGG